Molecule: ribosomal RNA, 439 nt
Filed under: uncultured bacterium
Lineage: Bacteria
Description: partial 16S ribosomal RNA
Rfam family: Bacterial small subunit ribosomal RNA
Source: RNAcentral
CCUACGGGUGACAGCAGUGGGGAAUAUUGCACAAUGGGGGAAACCCUGAUGCAGCGACGCCGCGUGAAUGAAGAAGGAAUUCGUUAUGUAAAGCUCUAUCAGCAGGGAAGAAAAUGACGGUACCUGAGUAAGAAACCCCGGCUAACUACGUGCCAGCAGCCGCGGUAAUACGUAGGGGGCAAGCGUUAUCCGGAUUUACUGGGUGUAAAGGGGGCGUAGACGGAAGUGCAAGUCUGGAGUGAAAGGCGGGGCUCAACCCCCGGACUGCUCUGGAAACUGUACGGCUGGAGUGCAGGAGAGGUCAGUGGAAUUCCUAGUGUAGCGGUGAAAUGCGUAGAUAUUAGGAGGAACACCAGUGGCGAAGGCGGAUUACUGGACUGUAACUGACGUUGAGGCUCGAAAGCGUGGGGAGCAAACAGGAUUAGAUACCCCAGUAGUC